Aethalodelphis obliquidens (Pacific white-sided dolphin) is the source of this 2531-nucleotide long non-coding RNA. RefSeq lists it as uncharacterized. The transcript has 2 exons. NCBI's taxonomy places the organism in Eukaryota, Metazoa, Chordata, Mammalia, Artiodactyla, Delphinidae. The record is from RefSeq and is a predicted model, not a curated record.
CCGCGGCAUGUGGGAUCCUCCCGGACCAGGGCACAAACCUGUGUCCCCUGCAUCGGUAGGCGGACUCUCAACCACUGCGCCACCAGGGAAGCCCAAUCCCUCCUUUUUUUAACGCUUAAUUUAACGAACACUUUGAAUGUUGACUUUGGCCCAGAUGCUGGGGAUGUAAAAAUGAAAAUAAAUAAAUAAAUAAAAGAAACUUGCCCCAGUAUGAUCUGACAUUACGAGUGGGAAUGACUCCUGCUUCUAACACUCCUUCCGUAGGGGCUGUGAGAACCCUCCUUACUCUGUGUCCUGUGGGGAUCAAGGUAGGACCCACCUCCCACGGGUCCUUUAGGGAGGAUUAACUACCUCUGUGCAUCUCUAGCCCCGAGGGCAAUGCCUGGGACAGGAUAGGGCCCCGUGAGGUCUCCGGAGUCUAAGCCCAGACACCCUGCCUUCCACGAGGGUCCUCACUGCCACCCCAGUCCCACACGAGUGCCUUUUCCUCCCAAUCCCGCUGUAUUCCUCUACACAUGCCGUGGCACAGUUGUAAUCAUUCUGUCCCGAAAAGCUUUCUUCCUAAAGCCAGGUGCAGGGACUCUCUCACCGUCCCCAACCUGCCCGUUUAUUUUAUAGACAUUUCUCUAUUUCAUGAACUAUUUAAUGUGGUUCUUCUGUUCAUCCCUAACUUCUUUUUAAAAGGAUUACAAUUUGCCUCUUGCAGAGACAACGGCCCAAACUCCAACUUGUUAAUACUUUCAAACACCCUGUGAAAAUGCAGGGAUCAGGGUUUCAUGGCAGCGGCCAACGUAUGUUAAUUUGGCUUCCAGGCAUAGCGACCAUAACACAGUUUGAGAAGGUGGCCCUCAGCUCAUGUUCCUUUUCUAGAAGUCUAUUUUGCUCUGGGGAGCACAGCCAGGCGUGCUCAGCUUUUCACAUGGUGACCUGGUGUUUCAGACGACCCGGACUCAAGGCUGGCAGUUCUUCAAGACGAGUCUAGGUCUUCAUACUCUUAUAAGAAUGCUAAAUUCAUUAGUCUGUACCAUCACUGAAUGCAACAAGUGCGUGGCAAGCUUGUCUCCCCUGUAACCUGUUUUAUCCGACUAGAAACUUCUGAACAAAAUCAAGAGGACUGUAAAAUUCCAGCUACUACUGCACAGCACUCCCAACCCUGGGGGACACUCAGGGGACAGGGUCUGUCCUCAUGUCUUCAGGCCACCCUGCCAGGGCUGGCCAAGCCCCUUAAGGACCAGCCUUCGCCCCGAUUCCUGCACGCUGUUGUCACGGCUGCAUCUGCCACACAGCAUUCCGGCAGAGGACCAGCCUCCUGUAUGUCACAGGAGGUCGUGGAGAGGACGUGACCACUGGUUGACCAUCGAGCUGGACCCGGGCAAUGGGAGGCUCCUCGCUCCCUCCCGUCCUUGGGAUGUACGUCUGCCCACAGUUCCUGCACUAGGAGCCUCUUCAAGGACUUCUCAACUUGACUUUGCAACUAUAAUUACAACAACUUACCAGGCAUUUUGAGCUGUGUUAAUCUGGCAGAUGACUUGACAUUACUUCUUUUGCUUUAUUGUGAAAUACAAUGCACAGGUCAUAAGGUUAAUUGAACAGUUGAUCAUAAAGCAUGCACCGUGGGACCCAGGUCAAGACAGCAAGUCUGCCGUGCACAGGAAGCUGCCUCUGCUCCAUGUGACUCCCCCUGGUCACAGCCCCUUCCUCUUGUCUCCCCACAGGUAACAACUCUUCUAACUUUGCGAAAAUUUCCUUGCUUUUCUCUGUGGUUUUACCCUUCUGCUAUAAUCCUAAGCAGUACAGUUUGCUUCAGGCUGAUUUUGAGAUUUCCAUUAAUGAACUAAUGUUGAAACGUCGUCUUCUGAAUCUGGCUUCUCUUGCUCAACUUACAUUUUGUAGCUUCAUCCAUGCUGUGAAUGCAGCAACAAUGUGUCCAUGUUCGUUACUAUAUAGUAUUCCAUUGGAUGGAUAUAUCACGAUUUAUGUCCCCAUUCUGCUGUCGCUGAGUUUUGGGGCUCACCAAGAAAGGUACCUCUAGCAUUCCUAUAGAUGUCAGGAUGUACAAUGUGAAUGCACUUCUCUAGGAGAAGGUUGCUGGGUCAACAUUCUUAAAUAACUGAACUUCAAUAAUGAUCACCAAACUAUUUUGCACAGUAGUUUUCCCAGUUUGUAAUCCCCCCAGGGGUGAGAGAAGCCCAGUGGGUCUACGUUCUUGGCAACACUUUGAAUUGCAGAAUUUUCAAAGUUUUUGGCAAUGUGAGUGGGAGAGAUCUCAUUAUGUUUCAAGCUUGUAAGUUUGUAUUUAACACCUUUUUUGCAUGUAUAAGCCAUUUCGAUUUCCUCUUUUACAGUGUUUGUUCAAAUUGUUUGCUUGGGUUUUUUAAUGUGCUUUUAAUGCGCUUUGUAAAAGUUAUACACAAACACGAUAACCGUCUGUCCAUUGUGUGCCUUUCAGUUCUCUUUCGGUUGUGUGGUUUGUCUUUUUAACUGUCUUAAUGUUGUCUUGGUAAUAAAGAGAAAUGAUUAUUUUUAAAGUA